UGGGGGAUCGAUCGGUUCGAGCGCCGAUGAAGGUCGUGCCAAGCUGCGAUAUGUCCCGGGUAACCGCAUGGAGGUUUUGAUCCGGGAAUUGCCUAAUGGGACUUCCUGUAUCUUCGGAUACGUUCGCAUUAGCGAUCGGGAACCUGCCGAAUUGAAGCAUCUUAGUAAGCAGAGGAAAAGAAAUCAAAGAGAUUGGGUUAGUAAAGGCGAUCGAAAACCCAACAGGGCAAACCGAAUCCCUUGGUGAAAGCCAAGGGAGAUGUGGAGUUAGGACCCGUUUACUCCGUAAAGGCUAAGUAGAAGUCCCCUGGAACGGGGCGCCAUAGAGGGUGACAGCCCCUUACACGUAAACCCUGGGAGAUUUUCAGGUAUCCAGAGUAGCGUGCGUUGGAAAUCGCGCGUGAAUGUGGGGCGCAUCAAGCUCCAACCCUAAAUACGACUCGAAACCGAUAGUGCACUAGUAGCGUGAGUGAAAGCUGCAAAGUACCCCUAGCGGGAGGUAAAAAGAGCGUGAAACCAAAUGGUUACAGACUGUAUGGGCGUGAAAGCAACGACCACACCGCAAGGUGUGUAGCAGCGUCCAUGCGUUCGUUUCGAAAAAUGAGCCAGGGAGUUCUUGGUAAUGGCGAGGUUAACCGCUUUACGCGGGGAGCCGCAGGGAAACCAAUUGUCCGCAGCAUUAGCAAGGGACGAGGUGUGUUCGCCUUCAGUCAUUAUCUGGAGACCCGAAGCCAGCCGAUCUAUGCCUGACCAGGUUGAAGCCUACUGAAAGGUGGGUGGAGGACCGAAGCGGUGCUGAUGUGCAAAUCGCUCGCGUGAGUUGGGUAUAGGGGUGAAAGUCCAAUCGAGACUGGAUAUAGCUGGUUCCCUCCGAGACUACUCGCAGGUAGAUCUCCGGGGAGACAGGUCGUGCGGUAGAGCACUGAUUGGGUGUUUAGGGGGAGAAAUUCCUCGGCAUCCUGUCAAACUCCGAACGUGCGAUCGUCGUAGAUCCGGGGUAGUGAGGGCAUCUGGGGUAAGCUUGAUGUCCAAAAGGGAAACAACCCAGCCUUAUGUUAAGGUCCCUAAGUACUAGCUAAGUGCUAUAGAACAAAAUGCGUCCGUGGCCUCAGACAACCAGGAGGUGGGCUUAGAAGCAGCCACCCUUUAAAGAGUUCGUAACAGAUCACUGGUCGAGGUCAUGGGCCAUGAAAAUGGACGGGGCUAAAGCUAGUCACCGAUACAUAAGCGCACACAUAGUGUGAUCGGGUAGGAGGGCGUCGUGCGUGGGUAGAAGCUGGGGCGUGAGUUCCAGUGGACCGCGUUCGAACGAGAAUCCUGGCAAAAGUAGCAGCACAGUACGGUGAGAAUCCGUACCGCCGAAGGGGCUAGGGUUCCUCGACUAUGUUCAUCAGUCGAGGGUUAGUCGGUCCUAAGGUGCAUCUUAACCGAAUGCAUCGAAAGGGAAACAGGUUAAUAUUCCUGUACCACUCCACAACAAUGGGGACGCAUGCGGAUAGGUUUUGCAGACUCGUCUGUCUGUCCAAGCGUAUUAAACCGGGGAAGAACCGUCAUGGUGAGAACCCGGCCAAAGCGUGAUGGGUACGCCAUUAGGCGUAUAUUACCGAUUUCGGGUGCCCGUGAAAACCCGUGGAAGUGUCCGUACCGAGAUCUGACACAGGUGCCCCUGGCUGAGAAGGCCAAGGCGUUUCGGGUACAAUCAUGGCGAGGGAAUUCGGCAAAUUAGCCCUGUAACUUCGGGAUAAGGGGUGCCAGCUUUGAAGAAAGCUGGUCGCAGUGACUAGGGAGCUCCGACUGUUUAAUAAAAACACAGGCGACAGCAAGUUCGAAAGGAUGUGUAUUGUCGCUGAAUCCUGCCCAGUGUGGGUAUCUGAAAACCCGGUUCAACGGGACGAAGGACCCAUAAACGGCGGGGGUAACUAUGACCCUCUUAAGGUAGCGUAAUACCUUGCCGCUUAAUUGGCGGCUUGCAUGAAUGGCGCAACGAGAGCUCUACUGUCCCCGCCAUGAGCCCGGUGAAAUUGACUUACUGGCGCACAGUCCAGUACCUUCUAGAAGGAAGCGAAGACCCCGUAGAGCUUUACUGCAGCCUGUCGCUGUGUUACGAUACUCGGUGUGAAGUGUAGGUGGGAGACGUCGAAAGAUGCUCGCUAGGGCAUCUGGAGUCGACAAUGGGACACCACCCAUCUUGUGUCGUAACACUAACUAUCUCUAUAGGACAACGGUAGGUGGGCAGUUUGGGUGGGGCGCCACGCGCUCGAAAAGAUAUCAAGCGCGCCCAAUGGUCACCUCAGGGAGUUCAGAAAUCUCCCGUAGAAUGCAAGGGUAAAAGGUGGCUUUACACGGGUUGGCCCAAUAACAAUCCGUGUUGCGAAAGCAGGGCCUAGCGAACCACUCGUGCUUAUUGAUGAGGCAGAGUGAUAACAGAAAAGUUACCUCGGGGAUAACUGAGUUGUCUUCAGUAAGAGUCCAUAUCGACCUGAAGGCUUGCUACUUCGAUGUCGUCUCCCCCCAACCUGGCGGUGCAGCAGCUGCCAAGGGUGGGGUUGUUCGCCCAUUAAAGGGGAUCGUGAGAUGGGUUUAGACCGUCGUGAGACAGGUUUGUUGCUAACUUCUAGAAGCGUUGAUGCCUGAAGGUAAAAGGCCCUUAGUACGAGAGGAACAGGGCCCUGCAGCCACUAGUUUACCAGUUGUCCGACAGGGCACCGCUGGGUAGCCACGCUGUAAGGGAUAAGAGCUGAAAGCAUCUAAGCUCGAAACCCGCCCUAAGACGAGGCAUCUUAGGACUCCCGUAUAAGACGGGUUUGAUAGAAAGGGGAUGUAA
Molecule: ribosomal RNA, 2824 nt
Filed under: Thermoplasmata archaeon HGW-Thermoplasmata-1
Lineage: Archaea; Methanobacteriati; Thermoplasmatota; Thermoplasmata
Description: bacterial LSU rRNA
Rfam family: Archaeal large subunit ribosomal RNA
Source: RNAcentral